RNAcentral lists this ribosomal RNA (497 nucleotides) under uncultured bacterium. Its description in RNAcentral is "partial 16S ribosomal RNA". It matches the Rfam family "Bacterial small subunit ribosomal RNA", at positions 28 to 507 of the family's 1533-position model. The record is from RNAcentral.
GAUGAACGCUGGCGGCGUGCCUAAUACAUGCAAGUCGAGCGAACAGACGAGGAUCUUGCUCCUCUGACGUUAGCGGCGGACGGGUGAGUAACACGUGGAUAACCUACCUAUAAGACUGGGAUAACUUCGGGAAACCGGAGCUAAUACCGGAUAAUAUAUUGAACCGCAUGGUUCAAUAGUGAAAGACGGUUUUGCUGUCACUUAUAGAUGGAUCCGCGCCGCAUUAGCUAGUUGGUAAGGUAACGGCUUACCAAGGCAACGAUGCGUAGCCGACCUGAGAGGGUGAUCGGCGACACUGGAACUGAGACACGGUCCAGACUCCUACGGGAGGCAGCAGUAGGGAAUCUUCCGCAAUGGUCGAAAGCCUGACGGAGCAACGCCGCGUGAGUGAUGAAGGUCUUCGGAUCGUAAAACUCUGUUAUUAGGGAAGAACAAAUGUGUAAGUAACUAUGCACGUCUUGACGGUACCUAAUCAGAAAGCCACGGCUAACUACGUG